RNAcentral lists this ribosomal RNA (253 nucleotides) under uncultured bacterium. RNAcentral's name for it is "partial 16S ribosomal RNA". It matches the Rfam family "Bacterial small subunit ribosomal RNA", at positions 524 to 776 of the family's 1533-position model. The record is from RNAcentral.
UACGGGGGGGGCAAGCGUUGUUCGGAAUUACUGGGCGUAAAGGGUGCGUAGGCGGCUUUCUAAGUCGGAUGUGAAAACUCUAGGCUCAACCCAGAGCCUGCAUCCGAAACUGGAGAGCUAGGGUUCUGGAGGGGAAAGCGGAAUUCCUGGUGUAGCGGUGAAAUGCGUAGAUAUCAGGAGGAACACCGGUGGCGAAGGCGGCUUUCUGGACAGAUACCGACGCUGAGGCACGAAAGCUAGGGGAGCAAACAGG